This 10409-nucleotide long non-coding RNA is filed under the name Pelobates cultripes (western spadefoot toad). The record is from RNAcentral. Lineage: Eukaryota; Metazoa; Chordata; Amphibia; Anura; Pelobatidae.
CAAAUAGUCCAUAUAUUAGAGAAAUAGGGCCCACCAUGGCUACUCACCUACAAUGGUUUCUGAUCAAUCCCAGAAUUCUUUGCAUGUCUGGUUUUGAUUAUCAGACCAAUGUGUCCACGACAGCCACUAAGUGGACAUUGGUCGAGGGAGUGGACAUAAAGAAAACAUACAUGAUUAAAGCGAAUGCGAUUGUGUACUCAUCUUGUAAAAAAAUAGUUGAAUUAUUUAUAGAUCAAACAUUAUGUGAAGAAACCACAGACUUAGUACAUUAACUUUGAUUUUUCUCGUUCCGUAGAUAAAACUACCGAACAUCUCCCUGGCUCAUUAACUACAAAGAAAAAAACGCAGAUUAAGUGCUCUCUCUAUGUGGCCACCAUUCGUAUGGCCGAAAGCUACGUGUUGGAGAAAAUGGCCAUCUUGUUCACAUGAAAAGAGGCAGCGGAACUUGGUUGCCGAGUGUCUGGAACUAAAAUCAGACACUCGACUUCCCGAACGCCGGUCAACUUUGCAAACGUCUGCUUCUUUUCACCGACCAGCCAAGAGGGCGCUAUUUGGUAGUUUUGUUCCCACGAAUUAGGGGAACAAACGCUACCCAUGAGCCAAGGGAACAGUUUGAGAAUUUGUUCGGUUUUUAGACUUCCCGAAAUGGAUCGACCACUACCUCUGAAACUGUGAAACUGUUUUGGGCAUAGGAUCUUGUGUGUGAUCGUUCAAAUUAUAACCUCCAUGGAAAUCCCGAACCCCUGAACCAAUCUGGGUGAAUUUUGGAUAUGAUGGUCCCCCAGAUCGGGGCUAUCAGGGGAUAUGAUGUUUGUGGGGUUUCCAUGUGUUUUUUAUGUACUUUCUGGGUUUUGUUGAAAUGUAUGUUUUUUGUGCAUGGAGAUAAUUGAGUUUAGUACAAUCUUUGACUCAAUUAUUUCCCAAGCACAGGGGAAGGAUAAUACUAUCUUAUGUGGGAGUGUCCUGGACCUGGCAGCCAAUGUAAUUGCAGUGUAUACUUUUCCAUAGUCUCCUCUCAGGUCCAGCAGGGCAUGCCCCUGAAAUAUGUCACUGUAAACCCUGUGCAUGGGGACUUGCAUUUAAAUCAACCAGUUGGUCUGAAUAAACUCAUUCCUGUUGUACCCUUCAUCUAGUCUAGGCUGAUAUUUGGAAAUACGUCUGAUUUGCUUGGUGAAUUUACUUGGAUGCUAUACUUCUUCUGGAAAAUGUUCGAAUCAGCACCCGAACUGUGAGCUAUAAUCACUCAGCCUCUAGCAGUUCAGGAGCAAACAGGUAUCUGAAAUACUAGCGUUUGUUACACAUUACAUUUUGCAUUGUCUCUAGCCAAUAAAGAAAUGGAAAAGUGGCCUUUAAACUAAGUAAACCAACAAAUAUUUUCCCAGCGUUCUACCAGGUUAGAUCCCCAUUUAAUUAAACUGGCUCAUUAUGUCCCUAUCUGAUUAGCGCAGGAGAAUCAAUUAUUCGAUGCACAAACAUGACUGUGAGAGUUAGCGGUGUACAGAGCUGUUCAUUUAAUUCCAAGGACACUAAUUAGGUACAAAGCAAGCAAUAACUCUAACAAUUGAAGGCAAAGACAUACACGCUGUACAGGACAAGGGGAAAACAGGCCUUCAUUUUCUUAAUAAGCUGGAUUCCCUAUCCUUAACAGGGUCAAGAAAAAAAACAAAAUGAGAAAGCAAGAAAUGGAGAUGAAGAGCACAGAGCUUCCUGGAGAUAACCCUGGGGAUUUGCAUAUGUAAUGGUUUUCUGCUACUUUUGUAGUUUAUAAUCAAACACUAGGCAAUUAUCCAAAUUAUUGACAGCAGCUUUCUCAUUUCAACUGCAAAUUAAGGCCAUUAAUAAAGCUUUCUAAUGCAAAAGUGACUAAUUAACUAACGAAAUGAAACUCUGAAGCUGUGAUAUCAAAACCAGUCCACCACAUAUUGUGGAAACACAAGGGAACUAAUUAGUUUAAUUAUCAAAACAGCUAAUUAAAAUUACACAGUUGCCCAAUUAGUUCUUUGCACUUUUUCUCCACUUUAAUUGACAAGAUGGAGUUAAAUCGGUUCUGGUCUUUAAGAAGUGCUCGAAGAGGGAGCAGCAGUUGGAAGGAUACUUUGAAAUGAUUUUAUCUCACUUUAUGACAGAACUGCAUCAGGAAAACAAAUUACUAUCAGAGUUUUAAUAAUACCCCAACCCUCAAACAGAAGAAUGGGAGUUUACGGACCCUAUAUGUACAUAUCUGGAUGUUAAAAUGAUCAUAGCGCUGAGGGUUGCUACUGCUGCCUUAUAGUGUGCUAGUUUUUAAAUGAUGUUUAGUUUUGUUUUUUGUUUCAGAAAUUUGAUGGGGUAACACUUCUGUUUGUCAUUAAUUUAAAGGGGGUAAACGAUCCUUUCUACUACUGACUGCGUUAAUUGUAUGUAAUGGUGGACACCGUACCCAAGCAGCCCCAUCCAAUGGGCAGUGGGAUCACAGUGAAACGAAGAGUGAAAUGUUGAUGAGUCCUACCCGGCACCCAUGAUUGUGCAGGUGAUGGCUAAUUAUUAUCAAUCAAUUCUAAGAGUAAAAUAAAUUGUCAUUGAACAUUGUCGCUCUAUUUAUUAAACAUAUGUAAGGCGUCCUAACAUUGCAUGCAAGUGGUUUAAAAUAUCCGAUUUUAGUAAAAGAUUUGAAGAUAAAAUCUAUAAUUAAAAAAAGUAUUACAUUUUUUUUUAAUUUGUAUAAUAGCUCUGUUCUAUACUAAAAAUUGCUCAAACCAACCCUAAACAGACCUAUUGAGUAAGUACUUCACUGUACGGCUCUCAAGUAGAUGAUAAUCUCUGGUGUAUGUGGUGCAGGACCUAGCCCAUUGGCUGAGAACGGUCAGCUGACCGCACUGCAGCACUAACGGGAGCAGUGCUCGGCGUAAGAAAUCAUUCUGGAGCGGUUUAACUACUUACAAUGGUGGGGGCCACAAGGCACUGCAGUGGUUAUGGUGCUUGACUUUUUCUUUUAUCUAGAAUAGAGAUUUUGCCUUUUAACAGAAAGCAGCAAGGUGAAUUGUUUGUGCAGGUGAGCUUGGGUGAUAAACCUGUUAUUUAAAUGUACACGGGGAUUUGGGAUAGUGUGCAGAGAAUUUGGUUUGUUCCAUGUAUUUGAGUUUAGUGGAUUUAGUUCUAUGUACUUGUUUAUUUGUAUAUGCGCAUGAUAACUGCUGUUUGUACAUCUAGCCAAUAACUAAACAUGUUUUUCUUAUAACCUGUUUCUAUGUUUACAUUCCUUGAAAUAAAAAAAGAAUCAUUCUUGGAGGACAUUUUAAAACAGGACUGGUGGCCAUGGCUGUUCCAUUCACCUGGUUAAAGGUUCCUAUGAAAGCAGCAGAGAGGAUGACUUACACAAACUGCAAAAUUUGAUCUCUGAAUACCACACAGGUUUUAAUUGUUUUAAAACAAUGAGUCGCCAAUGUUUCCCCCCUGUCCUGGAUCUUUCUCAAAUCUUAAUAGCUCUCAUAGAUUAACGCAAUACAUGGUAGUGGUGGAGCCUCCAAAUUCACAAUGACAACUGGUGCAGGACUACUAAACACAUAAUACUGUAAAAGAGCUAAUCACCCCCUGUUCCCCUCCUCUAGCCCAUUUCACGCUAAUCGCUACCUCUCCUGGCCACUAAACGAUUCCAGAAGCCCAGCACAGCUACAAUACCUCCAGCGGGAACAGGUCGACCCGAUUCACUGCCGGUGACUGGUGAAACUAACGGCCAUUCAUACUCCCUCAAACUAACAUGUAGAAGAAUGCUUUUUGGAGAGGAGGUAGAGGAAGGUCCAGCCAACAAUCGCUACGAAAGAGACAGGGAAAGCCUCCCUUUUCCAGGAAGAAAACAGACUAUAUAGGUGACCAGCACUUAGCUGCAAACAGCCAGAACUUCAAUUUCUCGGGUUAGGCACAUCCGAUCGGACGCUUUUUAAACAUUAUGCUGGGGGAAGUGAGCUCUGCGCAGGGAUGCAUAAAUUGUCUUCUGGCACUGUCCCUCCAUUCAGUGUUAAAUCAUCCCAUCUCAUUGAAGUGGCUAUAGUGUCUGGACUCCCCUGGUGUUGUCCUUCCAUUCAGUGUUAAAUCAUUCCAUCUGAUUGAAGUGGUUAUAGUGUCUGGAGUCCCCUGGUGCCGUCCUUCCAUUCAGUGUUAAAUAAUUUUUAAUGGUUUUAAUGCUAAACAAGAGCACAAACUACACAAACAAUCUCUACCUAUGAGCCAAGGGAACUGUAACGGAUCGCCUGGCACCCCGACUGGGUACCUCCGUUGAAGGAUGCUCCUAGCGCUUCCUGAGGACUCCAAGCACUAUGGCAGACAACACAAUCACCGAACCGGAGGAACAAAUAAAUUCUCCCAAGCAUAUGAAUGCUGUAGACAUUUGAAUAGGAAACCAUACGAAUAGGUUUACCCUCCUAGCAGUCAAACUGGAACAGCAUACAAUAAAUCCUUCCCCCAAUAAUGAGACGACACUUCACUUUGAGGGUUAAAACAGGAACUCCCUGUACUGUCACAUACAGUCUCUUUUAUUCCCAAUCCACAAACAUGGUACAGCCCACAGGGCGUUACAAAACAACCAAUCAAUCCGUACAAUACACCCAGACACUCCCACACAAAAUCCUCCCCUCUGCCUGUGAUAUGAUUACUGAACACAAUGGGUAAUCUCAUUAUCACCGGCAGAGGAAUACAGUUUUUACACAAUUUUUUUUUUUUUUUAAUUCUUUAUUUUUUAUUGUGCAGGUGGGUACAUGUCAGUUUCCAACGCCACAACAGCGUAUUUACAGAUGGCUAUACAUGCUUAACAGUUGCAAGAGUGCAUGCACAUUUUUUAAAAUAUAUUAGCAAUAACAAUAUAACAGGCUGAACCGUAGUGGAAUGCUGAUUGCAGUGUAGAUUCUGGUGUGUGUGAGAUAAGUUACAUUGCGAUAUACUAUUGCAAUAUUGGGAGUGCUGGGACAAGCUAGUCUGCUUGAGAGUCUAGACAGGUGCUUAAAACAUGAGUGCCCGCUGAUCUAGGGGGAUGUAGUGGAGUAUGUUGGGUAGGCUGCUCUGGUUGGUUAAUUCAGUUAGCCCUUUUGUUCAUAACUAUGUUGGACAUAUCGGCACAGGACUCCUAGUUUCAGCAUCCUUAGAGUCAUUGUAGAAGUCAAAGGGGAAGGGCUAGGAAAUAAUUACAUCGCAAGAGGAAUCACUGGGCUCUCUGAGAGCUCUGUCUAUACGUGUGUGGGUGUCAGGGCAGUGGCGACCUGAUCAUUGACCGGUUUAAUAUCAGUCACUACGUGACCUGUCUGUGUGGUAUUAAGUCGUCUAACUGUGAGUGGGUGUUGCGUGCAGAGUGGCCAGGCUAGGUAUCGUGCGCUGCCUCUCUAUACAUGCGACAUGCAAAGAAUAUUUCUGAACAAACCAACCAGAACUAAAAAUUAAACACGUUUGUAACAUGGGCCACAGGGUAUCUGGAAUUGUAGUUAUAGAUACGUCCAUACAUGUUAGUCUAGUGACACACUGUGGUAUGUAAAUCUACAUUUAUCAUGGCAACAGACGCGACAUACAUGACAGAGUGAUAUUGGUAAGUGAUCGCUAUCUAGUCCAGACUGGCAAAGAAAAACAAGUGCUCUGCUGCGUUAUCGUGGGAGCUCCAAAAAGGCCAAAAAUAAAAAUAGAAAUAAAUAAAAGGAAAAGGCAAAAAAGUCUCUGUUAACAGAAGUCUGUGGACUUCGGCUAGUCCCCCCUUCCCCUCCUUGCGGUCAUCCGACCUUUCUCUCGGCUGGGCUAUAGGCCUGCAUGUGCAGAUAUUUCGUGCCGUGCUGCCAGAGUUCUGUCGGGUGUCAGGUGCAACGUAACCCGGUACAGUCCCAAAGUUUGCCAGGGAUGGCCAACGAACUAAGCCGUGAGAGCAAGGUUGCCCACGUGUGUUGGAUUUGGCCGGUCAAUGGCAUCGUCCGUCCGAAGACCUCUGGCUAGUCCGCCAGUGUGUGUCUGCGGGUGUCAGUCACGUUGGUGAGAGUAGGUGUUAUCCAGACUGGCUGUGGUGAUGAGCGUGAGUCGCUGCAAUCCGGGGCUGCGAAUAACUUGUGGUAUAGGUGUCUCAGGAGUGUCUGUUGUGGUGACUUACAUUCAGCGUUCAAAGAUUGUAUAUUCCCAGGGAUGUCGUGUUUAGGUAGUGACCGCGGCGUAGGAGUCAGGGGUCGAACCUCUUUGGAUAAACAAGUUGAUUUUUGCCGGGUCCCAGGUCUGCGCUGGGGAGGUCGGGUGAAGGAGCCUUUCCUGAUUGAGCGAGGUCUGUGGAAUGCCCAGAGUCCGCAGGAGGUCAGGGGCUUCCUCAAUGUCGUGUACCAGAUGAGAGGCCGUUCCUUGCUGUACACUGAGAGAUCUGGAGUUCCGCCAGCGGUAGUUGAUCCCGUGCCGUUGGAGCAGAGAGGUAAGUGGUUGGAGCGAUCUGCGCCAGGCCAGGGUGCUACCGGACAGGUCAGCAAAAAAGGUCAGUCCCUUGUUUUCAAACUGCAUAGGGGUUUUACCUCGGAGGGCCGAGAGAAUCAUCGCUUUUUCCUUCCCAUUUCGGAAAGUAAUUAUAGUGUCUCUUGUCGCAGAGGGUGGUGCUCUGGGGGGUUUAGGGAUUCGAAAUUGGCCCACAGGGGUGAUGGCUGUGGCCUGUCCGCUUGGCAAAAUGGCUGCUAUCAUACGCUGUACAACUUGUGGCAGGUCGGUCUCAGGAAUCUCAUCAGGGAGCCCUCUGACCUUUAGAUUUUGUCUUCUUCUGUCAUCUUCUUGAGCUGCGUAGCGGCGUUCUUGUAACUGGUUCUGUUUUUGCAGGUCCAGUACAGCCUGUUGCAGGGACGAUAGGUCCUGCUGGUGUCCUUGAGACGUUAUCUCUAGCGUGCUGAUGCGGCCUGUCAGGCCCUGCAGUUCGCCCCUGAGGGCAGUUACAUCCGCUAGUAUAUUCUUUUGGAGAUCCGCCAGUAGUGCUUUCAUAACCCCUGUGGUUACCAACUCCCCGUCGGUACCCGUUGGCUUGGACUGCCGCGUUAUGGCCGGGGCUGUCAUGUAGUCGUCCUCAGCAUCUCCUGAGAGAUCGUCCGAGAAAUCGGAACAGCCGCCAUGAAGGGCCGCCAUGUUAGGCUCCAUCGUGCCUCGUGCUUGCCUCCACAUUUCUCCGAUCGUCCGUUCAGAGGUAUGUCUGUCUGGUCCCGGUUUUUUAUUUUUCUUCCCCAUUGUGCUUUGCUUUGGGGGGGUCUCCGCUGACUUUUUGGGGUCUGUGGGUAGUAUUUGGUUCGAUUUUCGACGUUUGGUGCGCGGAGCUCCAAAUUCCUGCGACUGCUGUCCUUCCUAGCCACCGGAAGUCCCCCGUUUUUACACAAUAUUUAUAACUUCUAAAAUAUACAUGUCACAAACAUAAAACAUACAUUUUCAUAAUCAAUCCAUUCAGGGGAACAACAUAUUAAAAAAUGGCACGAAUCAGACCAGGGAUUCAAAAGUUAAGGGAAAGUCCUUUGUGACUAAAUGAAGCAUGGCUUUCCGGCCCAAACCAGUUUCAGAGUCUUCUAUCCUGGGGAUAAGUAAUUCAAUUAUCUCCCAGGACAGACACAAGACUCCAUUAAGCACAUGGUUGCAAAAAGACACAAAACACUUUAAAAUACAUAAAGUCACCUUUUAUACAUAAAACACAGACAUGUCACAUAUCCCCAGAUAGCUGGAAUCUGAGCGCACAAAACUACCAAAUAGCGCUCAGAUCCUAUUCACACAGUUCAAUUGCCAUGGAGCCGAAGUCUUUAACUACACGAAUGGGCUCCAUGGCAUAGCUAUCUGGGUUAACACAUUCACAUAAAGUCUGGUCCAUAGUCCAAAGGCAAGAGGCGGGCAAGCAGCCCACUCCAAGGACACGUGGCGAGGCCGGUUUCGCCACAGGAACCGUUCAACUUUUUGUUCGUUUUGGAACUCCUGAAAGUGACCGACCGCUACCCCUGAUUCUCUGGAACUAAUCUGGGCAGAUGCCACAUGUGGAUAUGGAUGUUCUUAGUCGGAGUAUGGGGGAUCCGUUACAUAACCAAUAGUAUAAUGAAAUCAACAAUACCGCUGUGGCGGCCACACCGAUGGGAAUAGGGGUUUUUGCCACUGUAGCGGAGCGGCAAUAUUAAAUCCCAUGAUCUCCGCUGGUAAAAAAGGUUGUAACGGCAUCCUGGGCAUAAAAGGGUUAAACCGCCGUUUAGUAUAUCUUCCCCUUCCAGAGACACAGGCACAGCUACUGCAGAACCCCAAACUCCCGAACAGGAUACCAAGUAGCACUCCAAACUCCCGAACUGGAACCUCACGAAUAGCUGCUAGCAGCUGAACAGGAAAAGCACCCAAGCGGCUUACACUCCUGGCAAUCAGUCUCUAACAGCAUACAAUAAAUCCCCCCAAGAACGAGACAAAGCUCCGUGUUGAGGGUCAAGCAGGAACAGACAGAGCUGUGGGUUUAUUGUUCUUAUAUACACGUUAGUACCACCCACAGGGUUUUGGAAAACAACCAAUAAACACGUACAAUACACUCAGACACUCCCACACAAAAUCCUCCCCUCUGCCUGUGAUACAAUUACCUUACACAAUGGGUAAUGUAAUUAUCACAAGCAGAGAAAUAAAAAUUUUCCACAUUAUUCAUAACUUGAAAAGUAUGCAUCACAUUCACAUAAAACUUAAAUUUUCAGAAUCAGCAUACUCCAAAUGUCAAAAUCAUCCAAAUUGGUCCAGUGGUUCAAAAGAUAGAUCGUAGUCCUUUGUGACCAAAGGAAGCAUGGCUUUUCUGCCCAAAACCAGUUCCACAGAUUCUUCUAUCCUGGAGAUAAUUAGAAAGUAAUCCAAUUAUCUCCAAGGACAGAGGCAAAACUCCAUUGAACACAUGGCAGCAAAAGACAAUAAAACACAUAAAAACAUAUAACUGUGCAGCCAUUGCACAAAACAGGUACAUUCAACAUAUCCCCAGAUAGCUCAGAUCUGAGCGCACAUUAUUACUGAAUGGCACUCAGAGCACACACAUACAGUUCAAUUGCCAUGGAGCCAAAGUCUUUCCCAUAGUCUUUCAUUAUACGAAUGGGCUCCAUGGCAUAGCUAUCUGGGGUAUCACCGCUCAAACAGGGCCAGCACCGAAUGACCCAGCUUUUGUGUCUACGCAGGGGAAAAUCAAGCGUUUCAACAUGGGGCCAUAGUCUAAAGGCAGCAGGCUGGCAACCAGGCUCCUCCAAUGCACAAUGGCGAGAUUGGUCUCGUCACAAAGUUAAUCCACAGUCAGCGCUGAAAAGUAAGGCAAUAUCCCAAAUCCCCCAGUAACCGGACGAGACACAGUUCUGGGAGUCAACUGAGGUUUGUAUUCACAGCAUCCAGUAUUUAUGCAAGUCCCCAUGCAAUGGGUUCCCUUACUGACAUGGCAGGGGUUGUACAGUAGGGGACUACAUGGGGGACUUAACAUUCAGACCUUUUCUCCCAUCAGGCACUGCUGCACGAGAGGGACACUCCCACUGGAAUACACCGUUAAGUGGAUUAUCCCUCCGUGUAGCAGAACCGGCAUUUCACAUUAAAAUGUAUAACUUUCAUAAUACUUGAGUGAUUUAAACGAAUGGACAUUCGGUAGAUAGCUGGGGUCUGAGCGCACCUUUCGUGAGAAUACCGCUCAGAUCCCAGCUAAAACAACCGAACGCCGCACGAAAUACACUUUGCCCAUAAGUUCGUCUGAAAGUACCCAACACCGAUGGGGAACUGUAAUAGGGGAAUACCAGAGCUCCCGAACGGCCUGGAAGUCCAGCGGGGUUCGCGCCAUCGAGUAGCUGUUUUCAGUUCCACGCGCUCAACGACCAAACCCCGCUGGUGAGACAAAGGAUCCAAGAUGGCCGACCGCCGCGUGGUCGGUAGCCGAACGACGGCCACCUAGGAAAGCCUCUAAUUACAACACUGUUGCAAUCGGUUAAUGAGCGCCACACGUCCCUCUGUGUGUGGGCUAUUAGGGGGUAGCUCAUUCGGUUCACGAACAGCCUGUAAGGUUGCUGUUCGUGAAACGAAACACAUGAAUGCUAGCGGCUUUCGGCUGCUAGCAUACGAAUCCAAUGCAAACAUACAGUAACACACAAUGUAAAUCCAGGCCCUGGGGAGAUAGCGCAGCUAAGCGGACAAGGGCACAUGUAGGAGUGUGGGGAUAGAUGCAUGGGAUUGGUUGGGAAAGAGUGUGUGGGUGGGAUUAUGUUCUGUGUAAAUUAGUGUGGGGGAGGUCUUACCUCAGUGCCACUUGGGAUUCGGGCCAGCAAACAGCUUCCUGUCCUCCUGCUCCUGUUUGCCUGGGCCUGCAGAUUGACACAGCUUGAUGGUUGAGGCUUUCUGGCUUCCCUCAGGGCUGCUGCAGCGUGGAUGGUGGCCGGCUCCUGUGGGAACAAUUGGCAAGCAUUAAUGAGGUAUGGCUACCGGUG